CUUAACUCAAAAACACUCUGUAACUGAGAACUGUUUCUUCCAUUUAUCAUCUAUUAGAAAGGGAGGUAUCUUGUUUUCCCCUUUCUUCCUCUUUUGUUUUCUGUUUUUGCAUUUGCUUCUCUGGUUGUUGCACAUAAAAUUAUUGUCUAACAGGUGUAUCUACAUCUUUCUCUCUGGUCUGUUCCAACACUCCAUUUUUUUUCCCCCUGCUGUCUCUAUCUUUUCCCUGUAUUUCUGCCUACUUGUGCUCUGGGGCUUUCACUGUAUGUGUGUGAAGAUCAGCGAGAACUUUCCUUCCCACAGACCAGUGUGGAAAUGAUAGGGAAUUCUGAGGAUGAGAAUUUCAUGGAUGGAC
RNAcentral lists this long non-coding RNA (355 nucleotides) under Marmota monax (woodchuck). The record is from RNAcentral. Lineage: Eukaryota; Metazoa; Chordata; Mammalia; Rodentia; Sciuridae.